Molecule: long non-coding RNA, 1819 nt
Filed under: Nicotiana tabacum (common tobacco)
Lineage: Eukaryota; Viridiplantae; Streptophyta; Magnoliopsida; Solanales; Solanaceae
Description: long non-coding RNA (NTAB_LNC010369)
Source: RNAcentral
AAACUUAGCAUAGAUCUAAAUAAAUUGAAUUCUACAGGAGUUAAUAGCUGCACUGAACUCACAUCUCGUUCAUAAAAACUUUAUCUCAGUUCAUUAGAGCAAAAACAAACUGAAGGACAACAUAUUCAUACAAACAGAGUAUUAACUUAUCUAAAACCAAAUGACUGAAGGCAAACACUUAUUUAGUGUUUCUAACAUAACUUAAAAUUACCAGAGAAAAGAUCAAACAAGCAUCUGAAGAAAACUUAAUUAAUUACAGGAAUAAAUAUUUUGCAGAAAUAACAUCUAUGUACAAAUGUGUCACUGAUUUUCAAACUCAAAUCCAACAGCUUCAAAGCCUUUCAUUUCAACAUGUUAAUGAGGUGCAGUGAGUACCUGGUUACAUCAAAUAAACAACAAAAAGACUGAAGUUAUGAAGCGGCAACAGUAGUAAUUCAACAGAGAAGAAGCAAUAGCAGAAUCAGCUCAAAAAUCUGCAAUAGAACAGUGAUCAAACAGCCUUUAAACCAUCUUUGAAUCCCCAGAAUAAGCUUGAAAUCCUUUGAGUGUUUUAGAAUGGAAAGACUAAUUGCAGAACUAGAUCAAUUUUCCACCAAAAUGCAAGAAUUUUGAAGUUCUUUUUAGCUCAGCCGUUUGCAACUUUUCAGAAUUUUUAGUCUCUAAAUUCUGACUUGUGAGUGAAGAAAGAAUGCCUUUAUAGGCAUGCCUUAGGGCAGCAGAAAAUGAAUUCAGUUUUACUCUUUUAAUCCUUUUUGAAUUUUCAUUUUUGCUCUCAUGUCCUUGGUAUAAAAAUCAGUCCUUCAGAUAAGUCCCAAUCCCUACCUUCCUGGAAGGUUCCUAAGUUAGUUACAAGAGAUUCCCUAACCUAAAUUUCCUAAUCUAACCCUUAAGACCCAUGCUUUUACCCCUGAAACCAAAUGGGUCAAAUUGACCCAAUAACUAAACAUGAUGAAUGAGCUGCCCCGUUGAAAGUGGAUCAAAAUUAAUCCCAAGGCCCAAAACCAAUCAGAAAUCCGUUUGGGUAAUUCAGGAAAAAUAGAAGAAGUAAUUACUAAAAUUCUAACUAAGCGACUACUUUCUUUUUCUUUUUUUUUAGGCUAACUAAUGAACUAUAAUUAAACUACAUAUUAAAAAUUAAAUCAAACCUAAUUUAAAAGAUUACAAAACUAAAAUAAGAAGGGCAAAGAUCAGAAGUUUAAACCUAAAAACUAAACAAGUCAAUAAACAAAAUCAGUGCACAACUUUUUUUUAAAAGCAAUUGAAGAGAAAAACUGAAAAUCCAACGGAGCAAAUACGAACACCAAAUUAAUCUAAAGGGAAGAACUAGGUUCGAAGCCAUUCACAAUUUCAGUCAGAAGACAGACCACUCAAAUAAACGGAGAAGAAAAGAUGAAGAAUAAGAGGUGAAACAAAAAGAACGGACAAAGAGAUGAAGAAAACUUACCAAAUCAAAAAUCAAAACCCAUUGGAGACAUUGAUUUAACGAAAACUAAUGUUAAUAAUUUGUUCUUUGUCAAGAACAACUGAACAACAUCAGUUUCGUUGGGUCAAAACUUCAAACACUAAAGAAACAGCAGCCUAUGGUCAUACAUGCCACCGGGUUCAACGGAAAAUGAAUUUGGACUUUUAGGGUUAGAACUCAGAUUUAAAAUUCGAAGAGUUCUGGACAGAUUCGAGAAAAAAUGGUCCGGGUUUGGGAAAGGGGAUGAUGUGAGGGUCUUGUGGUGUAGAUUUUGGGCUGGUUAGAGGCGCCGCCACCGACCGGUGAGUGGGGAAUUGAAAGGCGGCGUCUCUAGGGUUCUUUAGAGAUGAAGAAGGA